This 467-nucleotide ribosomal RNA is filed under the name uncultured bacterium. RNAcentral's name for it is "partial 16S ribosomal RNA". It matches the Rfam family "Bacterial small subunit ribosomal RNA", at positions 28 to 507 of the family's 1533-position model. The record is from RNAcentral.
GACGAACGCUGGCGGCGUGCUUAACACAUGCAAGUCGAACGGAAAGGCCUCUUUCGGGGGGUACUCGAGUGGCGAACGGGUGAGUAACACGUGAGUAACCUGCCCUUGACUUUGGGAUAACUUCAGGAAACUGGGGCUAAUACCGGAUAGGAGCUCCUGCUGCAUGGUGGGGGUUGGAAAGUUUCGGCGGUUGGGGAUGGACUCGCGGCUUAUCAGCUUGUUGGUGGGGUAGUGGCUUACCAAGGCUUUGACGGGUAGCCGGCCUGAGAGGGUGACCGGCCACCUUGGGACUGAGAUACGGCCCAGACUCCUACGGGUGGCAGCAGUGGGGAAUAUUGCCCAAUGGGUGGAAGCCUGAUGCAGCAACGCCGUGUGCGGGAUGACGGCCUUCGGGUUGUAAACCGCUUUCGCUCAUGACGAAGCUUUGUGUGACGGUAGUGGGUAAAGAAGCACCGGCUAACUACGUG